AGCCUCGCGCACCGCCAAAGUAUUUGGGAGCAAAGCCCGAAAGUUCCCAUUCUUCCUCCUCUUGCUUUCUCCCAUGGCUUCAGAUUUGGGUUAGGGUUACUCGAUCGGAGGAUUUUGUGCCGUGUAGAGUCCUUCAUCCGACGCGAUCGUCUUUUGGAUUGUUCUUUGGAGAUUUGGCUUGAGGUAAAAGGACUCUGAGUUGAAUCAUUAUGAAGAUUGUUUUGAAUGCUAGAGUGUUCAACUUCGGUAAUUUUUGAGGUGUAACUUGGACCAUCGUUCAAGACAAAAGCAGUAUACCUAAUCUUCAGAUAUGCAAGUUCUGAUGCAAUUGGUAACUUCGAGUUACCUAGACUCCGUUCCUGACUCCCAAUCAGGAAACUUUCACCGAGGUUCGUUCUCAUAUGAUUUGUAUGGCUCACGGUGAAUGAACUUUACACAGGCAAGUAUCAGUGUUAUACUUGAUAAGCAGUCCUUCCCCUGUGGUCUUCCAAGUAUGUCUAUGUGAUACUUGAUAUUCUACUUCCAGGUAAUUGCUCUCCGAACCAUGCUGUCUCUCUUUGUGUUGUUAAUCCUUGAUUCCUCGAGGCGUACAGCAGUGUCUUGUGGUUCUCAAUCCUUGAUUCCUCGAGGCGUGCAGCAGUGUCUUGUAGUUCAUCACGUUUUAAGUUUGCUGUCCUCAUCAAUGCCUGUGCCAAUUAUGUGAAGACACUGUAGGGAAUUUUAGGAGAUAGUGUGAUGGGUGUUGAUUGGGUUUUCUUACAUGUUCUACCCAUGGUGCUAUGUCUUUUUUUCUUUGCUAUUUUAGGUGUUGAAAAGUAGACCUAAUCAAGAUUUCAGUUCGGUGAAAAAAAUGAAAUCGAAACUAUAUGGAUUUUAGAUGA
Musa acuminata AAA Group (dessert banana) is the source of this 881-nucleotide long non-coding RNA. RefSeq lists it as uncharacterized. NCBI's taxonomy places the organism in Eukaryota, Viridiplantae, Streptophyta, Magnoliopsida, Zingiberales, Musaceae. The transcript has 4 exons. The record is from RefSeq and is a predicted model, not a curated record.